RNAcentral lists this long non-coding RNA (1020 nucleotides) under Marmota monax (woodchuck). The record is from RNAcentral. Lineage: Eukaryota; Metazoa; Chordata; Mammalia; Rodentia; Sciuridae.
UCUGGUUUCCCACAAAACAUGGAAUUCCUGCACAUCCAGAUCCGUGCUUCUUGCCUGCUGUCCCACACCAGGCUGGGCUUCUUGAAGGCAAGGCAGGGAGGGGGCUGGGUGGAGGAGGGGCCACGGUGCCAGCUCCCCUGUCUGUCAUCGCAGGUGCCUGUCCACAUGUAAGGACUAGAUGCCAGGGCAGGGAGUGCAUGAGAACUCCCCCUAUGGGCAUCCUGACAUUUCUGGGGCAGGGCAGAGACAUGGCACCACAUGGAGGUGGCAGUUGAGCUGGCCUCACAAGACAGACGGGUCCUCUGUGGCCAGCCCUCCCCUGCCACAAAAGGACAGGCAAGGCAGGUGUGUUGUGUGUGGAGGUCUCUGGGCGUGAGCGGACAGGUCAUUACUCUACCUCUGUGCUGGGUUCCUUGUCCCUGCUCCAUGGCUGGCCCCCACCCAGGCAGGGGAACCUGUCUGACCAGUCCUGGAGGCAGACUGCCAAGGCGGUGGGCAGGAGGAAGAAGAGCACUUCUGCCCUUGGACUUCCUCCCAGUGGGGCUGAGUGGUCCUUGGGACUCUGCUAGUCUGUUCCAACCCUACUGGGUGCCCCCAACUCUGUUGUGCCUGUGCUCUUUGUCACGGGGCACCUCACCACACCUUCCAGAACCAAAGCUUCCUGGGCUGGCCUGGAGGCCACAGUCCGGCAGAGGCCAGCUGGGAAUGUUGGAGGGGGUCUGAGAUGGUCCCUGUGUAAGGGGAACUGCCACCCAUGGUGUGUGAGUGCCACCUUGUGGCCUAAAGGGCUGGCCGCUGCGUAUGACUGGAACAUCGCAGACCCAGCCUGGCAGGCACUGGGGAGAAGGACGUGCACCCCUGAGGGAGGCUGCAGGGAAGCCAGGACCCUCGGGCUCUGAGUUAGCAAGGUGCUGGGCAACCUUCCUGGAGAAGGAGACAUGAGCUGGGGACUGAAGAGGGACUUGUCCCAGCCUGAGGCCAGAAAGCUGUGUGGUGAGGAGCGUUUGUGUGAGCAGGGAG